This 74-nucleotide transfer RNA is filed under the name Prevotella intermedia. RNAcentral's name for it is "tRNA-Pro(cgg)". It matches the Rfam family "tRNA". From Rfam's summary of the family: Transfer RNA (tRNA) molecules are approximately 80 nucleotides in length. Lineage: Bacteria; Pseudomonadati; Bacteroidota; Bacteroidia; Bacteroidales; Prevotellaceae. RNAcentral also lists the same sequence under 2 other names. The record is from RNAcentral.
CGGGAUGUAGCGCAGUUGGUAGCGCACUACGUUCGGGACGUAGGGGUCGCUGGUUCGAGUCCAGUCAUCCCGAC